RNAcentral lists this ribosomal RNA (1663 nucleotides) under Salmonella enterica. RNAcentral's name for it is "partial 23S ribosomal RNA". It matches the Rfam family "Bacterial large subunit ribosomal RNA", at positions 1 to 1697 of the family's 2925-position model. The record is from RNAcentral. Lineage: Bacteria; Pseudomonadati; Pseudomonadota; Gammaproteobacteria; Enterobacterales; Enterobacteriaceae.
GGGUUGUGAGGUUAAGCGACUAAGCGUACACGGUGGAUGCCCUGGCAGUCAGAGGCGAUGAAGGGCGUGCUAAUCUGCGAUAAGCGCCGGUAAGGUGAUAUGAACCGUUAUAACCGGCGAUACCCGAAUGGGGAAACCCAGUGUGAUUCGUCACACUAUCAUUAACUGAAUCCAUAGGUUAAUGAGGCGAACCGGGGGAACUGAAACAUCUAAGUACCCCGAGGAAAAGAAAUCAACCGAGAUUCCCCCAGUAGCGGCGAGCGAACGGGGAGGAGCCCAGAGCCUGAAUCAGCAUGUGUGUUAGUGGAAGCGUCUGGAAAGGCGCGCGAUACAGGGUGACAGCCCCGUACACAAAAGCGCAUGUGCUGUGAGCUCGAUGAGUAGGGCGGGACACGUGGUAUCCUGUCUGAAUAUGGGGGGACCAUCCUCCAAGGCUAAAUACUCCUGACUGACCGAUAGUGAACCAGUACCGUGAGGGAAAGGCGAAAAGAACCCCGGCGAGGGGAGUGAAAAAGAACCUGAAACCGUGUACGUACAAGCAGUGGGAGCACCCUUUGGGUGUGACUGCGUACCUUUUGUAUAAUGGGUCAGCGACUUAUAUUCUGUAGCAAGGUUAACCGAAUAGGGGAGCCGGAGGGAAACCGAGUCUUAACCGGGCGUUAAGUUGCAGGGUAUAGACCCGAAACCCGGUGAUCUAGCCAUGGGCAGGUUGAAGGUUGGGUAACACUAACUGGAGGACCGAACCGACUAAUGUUGAAAAAUUAGCGGAUGACCUGUGGCUGGGGGUGAAAGGCCAAUCAAACCGGGAGAUAGCUGGUUCUCCCCGAAAGCUAUUUAGGUAGCGCCUCGUGAAUUCAUCUCCGGGGGUAGAGCACUGUUUCGGCUAGGGGGCCAUCCCGGCUUACCAACCCGAUGCAAACUGCGAAUACCGGAGAAUGUUAUCACGGGAGACACACGGCGGGUGCUAACGUCCGUCGUGAAGAGGGAAACAACCCAGACCGCCAGCUAAGGUCCCAAAGUCAUGGUUAAGUGGGAAACGAUGUGGGAAGGCCCAGACAGCCAGGAUGUUGGCUUAGAAGCAGCCAUCAUUUAAAGAAAGCGUAAUAGCUCACUGGUCGAGUCGGCCUGCGCGGAAGAUGUAACGGGGCUAAACCAUGCACCGAAGCUGCGGCAGCGACACUGUGUGUUGUUGGGUAGGGGAGCGUUCUGUAAGCCUGUGAAGGUGUGUCGUGAGGCAUGCUGGAGGUAUCAGAAGUGCGAAUGCUGACAUAAGUAACGAUAAAGCGGGUGAAAAGCCCGCUCGCCGGAAGACCAAGGGUUCCUGUCCAACGUUAAUCGGGGCAGGGUGAGUCGACCCCUAAGGCGAGGCCGAAAGGCGUAGUCGAUGGGAAACGGGUUAAUAUUCCCGUACUUGGUGUUACUGCGAAGGGGGGACGGAGAAGGCUAUGUUGGCCGGGCGACGGUUGUCCCGGUUUAAGCGUGUAGGUGUGUGUUCCAGGUAAAUCCGGUUCACUUUAACACUGAGGCGUGACGACGAGGCACUACGGUGCUGAAGCAACAAAUGCCCUGCUUCCAGGAAAAGCCUCUAAGCAUCAGGUAACAUCAAAUCGUACCCCAAACCGACACAGGUGGUCAGGUAGAGAAUACCAAGGCGCUUGAGAGA